UCCACGCCUUUUUUGGUGUAGAUACCAUGGGCAAUCCGCAGCGAAGCCUCUAAGUCCGGCCGCCGGAUAUGAGGAACGUUCACAGACUAAGUGGAAGUGGGUGGAGCGUUCGCCGCUCUGCUUAAGAUAUAGUCGGUCCCCUUGGGAAACUAAGGGGGUGAGUACACUGCUCGAAAUUUAAACUUGAGCGCAUCUCGGAUAGCGCUCGUGUUAGAAUUUCGGGACCGUCGAUUGCCUCGCGGUUCGACGGCUCUUAAAACGUUCCGUAGGUGAACCUGCGGAAGGAUCAUUACAGAAAGUAAACGCGGAUCAAACCGCGAACUUUUAAACCUUUGACGAUUGACUCAUGUUGCCUCGGCGGGUUCUCUCGCCAGAGGAUACAUCAAAACUCCUGUUUUAACGGUGUUGUCUGAGCUACAAGCAACGAAUCAAAACUUUCAACAACGGAUCUCUUGGUUCUGGCAUCGAUGAAGAACGCAGCGAAAUGCGAUAAGUAGUGUGAAUUGCAGAAUUCAGUGAAUCAUCGAAUCUUUGAACGCACAUUGCGCCCCUUGGUAUCCCGAGGGGCAUGCCUGUUCGAGCGUCAUUUCACCACUCAAGCCUGGCUUGGUGUUGGGCGACGUCCCCUUCAGGGACGCGCCUCGAAACGCUCGGCGGCGUGGCACCGGCUUUAAGCGUAGCAGAAUCUUUCGCUUCAAAAGUUGGGGCCCCGUCUGCCGGAAGACCUACUCGCAAGGUUGACCUCGGAUCAGGCAGGGAUACCCGCUGAACUUAAGCAUAUCAAUAAG
RNAcentral lists this unclassified non-coding RNA (788 nucleotides) under Cenococcum geophilum. RNAcentral describes it as "partial contains ITS1, 5.8S rRNA and ITS2". The stretch from base 433 to 586 matches the Rfam family "5.8S ribosomal RNA". The record is from RNAcentral. Lineage: Eukaryota; Fungi; Ascomycota; Dothideomycetes; Gloniales; Gloniaceae.